CUUCCCGCCGUCGCGCAUGCUCGUCGUCGACGGAAACGCGCUGCACUUCGAUCCGGUUCCGGAGAUGAACCGGAUCGAGCGAUAUCUCGGCGUACCGGAGAACAUCACCGGAUCCGACUUUUUCUUGAACGAGAAAACCGGAUUCCUCUGUCUAUCGCGCCGCGGGAAGUGCCUCCCGAAGAACAAAGGAAGACGACAUCCGCCGUUCCCUGCAGGCGUGAAGGAGAAGCUAAGAGAGUUCUUCUUGCCGCGUAACGAAGCUUUCUUCUCUAGCGUCGGUCGUCGAUUCGACUGGUGACACGAACCAAUGGUUGGCACGACUGUCCCAAGAUCACACAGGAAUAGCACUGUGCGAUAGCAAAAUAGUAAGAUUGUAAGAUAGUAAGACUUUAAAACUGAAAGACUGAAAGAUAAUAGUAAGACUGUGAGAUAGUAAGACUGUAAGAUAGUAAGACGUUAAGAUAGUAAGACUGUGAAAUAGUAAGACUGUGAGAUAGUAAGACUGUGAGAUAGUAAGACUUCAAGAUAGUAAGACUGUGAGAUAGUAAGACUUUAAGAUAGUAAGACUGUGAGAUAGUAAGACUGUAAGAUAGUAAGACGUUAAGAUAGUAAGACUGUGAAAUAGUAAGACUGUGAGAUAGUAAGACUUUAAGAUAGUAAUAAAACUGUGAGAUAGUAUGAUAGUAAGACUUCAAGAUAGUAAGACUUCAAGAUAGUAAGACUGUGAGAUAGUAAGACUGUAAGACUGUGAGAUAGUAAGACUUUAAGAUAGUAAGACUGUGAGAUAGUAAGACUGUAAGAUAGUAAGACUGUAAGAUAGUAAGACUGUAAGACUGUGAGAUAGUAAGACUGUGAGAUAGUAAGACGUUAAGAUAGUAAGACUUUAAGAUACUAAGACUGUGAGAUAGUAAGACUUCAAGAUAGUAAGACUGUGAGAUAGUAAGACUUUAAGAUAGUAGGACUGUAAAACAGGAAGUUAGUAAGACUGUGUGUAUAAUAAUGUAUAUAUUUGCUAGUAGCCUUUAAUGAAACAUUACAAUGUAAGCACUAAACAAUACACGUGUUAUGAUUUGACGUCGUAUUGCACUAAUGACGUCAACGAUUUCUCAUCCGCAACCGCCAAAACCUACAUGCAGUGCUAGUAUGAUGAGAUCAGAGAUCUAGAGAUCUAGAUCUAUAGACUAUCCUAUCAUAUCGUCUAUAUUAUACACUCCUUAUGAGAUUAUAGCGUCCUGCCUCCAGCUCUCACGCGACCCCCCCCCACACUGUUCCACGCGACCCACAUUUCGUGUGGGCUAAUGAGAAUUCCCGUAUCAUCUCUAUGAUGUAGCAUAUGCUGCUUGUGUCAACAGCAAACCUCAAAACCCUCAUUAUAAUAACGAAGGUACGCCCUCGGCGAAAUGCAUACAUUCUGCUUUUCCUAUGUUGUGUCGAUACAUAACAGGUACCCUUAGAAAUGCACGCGUAAAGUAUUGUCCAGAAAAUCUAUAAUACAUCGAUACAUUUUGUUUUCUAUA
Long non-coding RNA from Priapulus caudatus, 1517 nucleotides. RefSeq lists it as uncharacterized. The transcript is spliced from 2 exons. Lineage: Eukaryota; Metazoa; Priapulida; Priapulimorpha; Priapulimorphida; Priapulidae. The record is from RefSeq and is a predicted model, not a curated record.